UGCAAGUCGAGCGCAGGAAUAAACAGAACCCUUCGGGGUGAUGUUUAUGGAAUGAGCGGCGGACGGGUGAGUAACACGUGGGCAACCUGCCUGUAAGAUCGGGAUAACUCGCGGAAACGUGAGCUAAUACCGGAUAACACUUUUCAUCUCAUGGUGAGAAGAUAAAAGACGGUUUCGGCUGUCACUUACAGAUGGGCCCGCGGCGCAUUAGCUAGUUGGUGAGGUAACGGCUCACCAAGGCGACGAUGCGUAGCCGACCUGAGAGGGUGAUCGGCCACACUGGGACUGAGACACGGCCCAGACUCCUACGGGAGGCAGCAGUAGGGAAUCUUCCGCAAUGGACGAAAGUCUGACGGAGCAACGCCGCGUGAGUGAUGAAGGUUUUCGGAUCGUAAAACUCUGUUGUUAGGGAAGAACAAGUUGGGUAGUAACUGACCCAACCUUGACGGUACCUAACCAGAAAGCCACGGCUAACUACGUGCCAGCAGCCGCGGUAAUACGUAGGUGGCAAGCGUUGUCCGGAAUUAUUGGGCGUAAAGCGCUCGCAGGCGGUCUUUUAAGUCUGAUGUGAAAGCCCACGGCUUAACCGUGGAGGGUCAUUGGAAACUGGAGGACUUGAGUACAGAAGAGGAGAGUGGAAUUCCACGUGUAGCGGUGAAAUGCGUAGAGAUGUGGAGGAACACCAGUGGCGAAGGCGACUCUCUGGUCUGUAACUGACGCUGAGGAGCGAAAGCGUGGGUAGCGAACAGGAUUAGAUACCCUGGUAGUCCACGCCGUAAACGAUGAGUGCUAGGUGUUAGGGGGUUUCCGCCCCUUAGUGCUGAAGUUAACGCAUUAAGCACUCCGCCUGGGGAGUACGGCCGCAAGGCUGAAACUCAAAAGAAUUGACGGGGGCCCGCACAAGCGGUGGAGCAUGUGGUUUAAUUCGAAGCAACGCGAAGAACCUUACCAGGUCUUGACAUCCUCUGAUACCUCUAG
Molecule: ribosomal RNA, 978 nt
Filed under: Oceanobacillus sp. MRSA206B15_13_2A
Lineage: Bacteria; Bacillati; Bacillota; Bacilli; Caryophanales; Bacillaceae
Description: bacterial SSU rRNA
Rfam family: Bacterial small subunit ribosomal RNA
Source: RNAcentral